UACGGAGGGGGCUAGCGUUGUUCGGAAUUACUGGGCGUAAAGCGCACGUAGGCGGAUGCUUAAGUCAGGGGUGAAAUCCCGGGGCUCAACCCCGGAACGGCCUUUGAUACUGGGUGUCUGGAGGUCGGGAGAGGCGAGUGGAAUUCCGAGUGUAGAGGUGAAAUUCGUAGAUAUUCGGAGGAACACCAGUGGCGAAGGCGGCUCGCUGGCCCGAUACUGACGCUGAGGUGCGAAAGCGUGGGGAGCAAACAGG
This 253-nucleotide ribosomal RNA is filed under the name uncultured bacterium. Its description in RNAcentral is "partial 16S ribosomal RNA". It matches the Rfam family "Bacterial small subunit ribosomal RNA", at positions 524 to 776 of the family's 1533-position model. The record is from RNAcentral.